CAGUGUUCACAUCUCUGUGGUCUCAUGAUCUCCUAAAGCCUUUGUUUAACCCACCAUCUCUCACAGCUGCUAAAUAUUCAGCGUGUUUGUUAGCCUGUUUGACAGGAGUUAACUGAUGCUCGUAUGAAGGUCUGGAGCAUUCAGCUGAUCUACCAGAAGAACAUCAGAGAUGAAAGAAACUCAUACAAGUUUGGAUCAACCUUAGGAUGGCACUGAUGACGAAUGAGCAGAUUUACCAGCCGUCCUGAUUUGAUGUCUGAAGCGAGCCUGGCGAGGACACAUCAGAAAACUCUCGUACUUCCUGUAGCAGCUUCAGAACCGAACCACAACUCUCACAACCAGACGCAUCUGCAUCGCCCCGCGUCUGGACGCCCGAGGAUUGUAACUUUACCUGAUCUGACGUGGCUUCAGUCCCGCUUUUAACAAUGCCUCGAUCGUUCCUGGUGAAAAGUAAGAGGGCGGGGCAUCACUCCACACGCUCCGCCCACUCUCAGCAUCAGCAUCAUGACGGAUGGACAUCCAGCAGGCGCUCUGCGGCUCUGGAGCUGCUGCCGUGCACAUCCACCGACGACAGCCGAACUCAUAACAGCACCGAAGCAGCUGGAGAUGAACCCCAACCCUGGCCUUCAUCCACUGCAGUGAAGCAGUCUGGAGUUUGUCCGUUGUCUAAGCUGUCGUGCUCUGUUGUGAUGGAGAGACAGAGCGAGCUGGAGUGUCUGAUUCAGGCUUUGCUCAGUCACCAUCAGCUGAGCAAUGUCCAGACGCCGCUGUGUGAAUGUCCACUCU
Carassius auratus (goldfish) is the source of this 786-nucleotide long non-coding RNA. RefSeq lists it as uncharacterized. The record is from RefSeq and is a predicted model, not a curated record. The transcript has 5 exons. Lineage: Eukaryota; Metazoa; Chordata; Actinopteri; Cypriniformes; Cyprinidae.